AACGGCAAAGACUGUUGAUAUGCUAAUGUUAGGAUCAUAUCACAGUAUUUUUGCUGUUCU
This 60-nucleotide microRNA precursor is filed under the name Ascaris suum (pig roundworm). RNAcentral describes it as "Asu-Mir-2-o6_pre stem-loop". The record is from RNAcentral. Lineage: Eukaryota; Metazoa; Nematoda; Chromadorea; Rhabditida; Ascarididae.